RNAcentral lists this ribosomal RNA (447 nucleotides) under uncultured bacterium. RNAcentral's name for it is "bacterial SSU rRNA". It matches the Rfam family "Bacterial small subunit ribosomal RNA", at positions 355 to 825 of the family's 1533-position model. The record is from RNAcentral.
UCGGGAAUUUUGGGCAAUGGGGGAAACCCUGACCCAGCAACGCCGCGUGAAGGAUGAAGUAUUUCGGUAUGUAAACUUCGAAAGAGUAGGAAGAAUAAAUGACGGUACUAUUUAUGAGGUCCGGCUAACUACGUGCCAGCAGCCGCGGUAAUACGUAGGGACCAAGCGUUGUUCGGAUUUACUGGGCGUAAAGGGCGCGUAGGCGGCAUGACAAGUCACUUGUGAAAUCUCUGGGCUUAACCCAGAACGGCCAAGUGAUACUGUCGCGCUAGAGUGCAGAAGGGGCAAUCGGAAUUCUUGGUGUAGCGGUGAAAUGCGUAGAUAUCAAGAGGAACACCUGAGGUGAAGACGGGUUGCUGGGCUGACACUGACGCUGAGGCGCGAAAGCCAGGGGAGCAAACGGGAUUAGAUACCCAGGUAGUCCCUGAGCGGGCUGGCAAGGCGCAU